GGGCGGAGGGGCCUUGAGAGGGCCAGGGCACUGGGCCAGGAAGGAGGCAGAAGCCUGCAGGAGAGGCCUGUGGAGGGGCUUCGGGCCUCAGACAAGCCCCUCUCUGGUGUCCUUGGAGCCCAGGAUACCUGGCUGGUGAUAUAAAUGCUGUUUUCACCAGAAGCCACAGUUCUGGGAUCUCAGAAGUGAUGGAUGAUCCUAGGCCCAACUCAGAGAUUGGCCCAUGCUGGCUAACUAGUAUGGUAGCUGGCUGGACAUUCCCUGGGUAAUUUUCUUAAAAUGCCCUUCAGAAGCUGUCCUGCCACCUAAAAGGUGGAGCAGUGGGGAGAACCCUCACUCCAGAACUAGAGAAUCAGGCAAGUGGAGUGAGAGAAGCAAGAAGAGGCCUGAAGGAAGUGAGGCCUGAGAGGGAUGCAGGGUCCCAUAAAGAACUGUUUCUCCAAAUGUGGUGCCUGGACCAGCAGCAUCAACAAUGCCUGGGAGCCUAUUAGAAAUGCAGAAUCGUGGACCCUACUCAAGACUUACUGAAUCUGAAUCUGCAUGUUAAUAAGAUCCCCAGGGAUUUGUGAGCACAUUCAAGUUCAAGAAGUCCUGGAUGAGGCACACGGGUAGAUCCCUGACCCCUUCCCACUACAGGAUAAUGGGGAUCUGGGAUCUGCACCAUGCUCAGUCCAGCUCUGUGGGGGCUCUGGCUCUCUCAUUGGCACAAGCAUCCCCUCAGUUAACCCUGGAACUUGAGGUCACUGGAGGAGGCCUCCAGUCCUUAAAACCCCACAGCCAAACUAGUACAAUGAGUGAGAUGCUCUCACCCUGCUGAGUCGCCACUUCCCAAGGUGGAGGAUCUUCACUUCCUUUGUUUCUUUUCCUAGAAUGUGGGCUCUGCGUUCUAACCCAGGCUCCGCCACUUACUGACUGUGAUCCUGGAAGUUGCUAAACUUCUCUGCACCUUGGUUUUCCUUUUCUGUAAUAUAGAGGUGACACAUUUUCUAGAUCAUAGCUUUUUUUGGUGCAUAUAUCUAAGCAAAUAUAUACAUCAUGCUUAGAAGAGUGGUUGGCACACACCGCCAUUAACAUUCGUCACUUGCUAUGAGCCUUCCAUCUUUCCCUCUUCUGGGUGGCCCUUGGGCUGGGGUGGGAUGAAGGGAAGGUGGUGCUUACCUGUGAGGAGUCAAGGAAAGCAGUGCAAAGGCAGGGAUACUGGACUGGAGGUGACUCCUGUAGGGGGAAGAAGGAAAUGUGUUUGUAUGACACUGGGGUAUGCCAGGCUCAGUGCCAGGCACUUUCUUCCCUUCCACAGUUACACCAGAAUAGUGCUGUU
Molecule: long non-coding RNA, 1318 nt
Filed under: Homo sapiens (human)
Lineage: Eukaryota; Metazoa; Chordata; Mammalia; Primates; Hominidae
Source: RNAcentral